Molecule: ribosomal RNA, 500 nt
Filed under: uncultured bacterium
Lineage: Bacteria
Description: partial 16S ribosomal RNA
Rfam family: Bacterial small subunit ribosomal RNA
Source: RNAcentral
AUUGAACGCUGGCGGAAUGCUUUACACAUGCAAGUCGAACGGCAGCACGGACUUCGGUCUGGUGGCGAGUGGCGAACGGGUGAGUAACAUAUCGGAACGUAUCCAAUAAUGGGGGAUAACGAGUCGAAAGAUUCGCUAAUACCGCAUACGCCCUACGGGGGAAAGCUGGGGACCUUCGGGCCUGGCGUUAAUGGAGCGGCCGAUAUCUGAUUAGCUAGUUGGUGAGGUAAAGGCUCACCAAGGCGACGAUCAGUAGCUGGUCUGAGAGGACGACCAGCAAAGCUAGAACGGAGACACGGUCCAGACUCCUACGGGAGGCAGCAGUGGGGAAUUUUGGACAAUGGGCGCAAGCCUGAUCCAACCAUUCCGCGUGAGUGAAGAAGGCCUUCGGGUUGUAAAGCUCUUUCGCAAGGGAAGAAAACUUAGCCACUAACAUUGGUUGAGGUUGACGGUACCUUGAUAAGAAGCACCGGCUAACUACGUGCCAGCCGCCGCGGUAA